RNAcentral lists this ribosomal RNA (1024 nucleotides) under Striatiguttula phoenicis. RNAcentral describes it as "SSU rRNA". It matches the Rfam family "Eukaryotic small subunit ribosomal RNA", at positions 74 to 1106 of the family's 1831-position model. The record is from RNAcentral. Lineage: Eukaryota; Fungi; Ascomycota; Dothideomycetes; Pleosporales.
UUAUACCGUGAAACUGCGAAUGGCUCAUUAAAUCAGUUAUCGUUUAUUUGAUAGAACCUUACUACUUGGAUAACCGUGGUAAUUCUAGAGCUAAUACAUGCUAAAAACCCCGACUUCGGGAGGGGUGUAUUUAUUAGAUAAAAAACCAAUGCCCUUCGGGGCUCUUUGGUGAUUCAUGAUAACUUAACGGAUCGCAUGGCCUUGCGCCGGCGACGGUUCAUUCAAAUUUCUGCCCUAUCAACUUUCGAUGGUAAGGUAUUGGCUUACCAUGGUUUCAACGGGUAACGGGGAAUUAGGGUUCGAUUCCGGAGAGGGAGCCUGAGAAACGGCUACCACAUCCAAGGAAGGCAGCAGGCGCGCAAAUUACCCAAUCCCGACACGGGGAGGUAGUGACAAUAAAUACUGAUACAGGGCUCUUUUGGGUCUUGUAAUCGGAAUGAGUACAAUUUAAACCCCUUAACGAGGAACAAUUGGAGGGCAAGUCUGGUGCCAGCAGCCGCGGUAAUUCCAGCUCCAAUAGCGUAUAUUAAAGUUGUUGCAGUUAAAAAGCUCGUAGUUGAACCUUGGGCCUGGCUGGCCGGUCCGCCUCACCGCGUGUACUGGUCCGGCCGGGCCUUUCCUUCUGGAGAGCCGCAUGCCCUUCACUGGGUGUGUCGGGGAACCAGGACUUUUACUUUGAAAAAAUUAGAGUGUUCAAAGCAGGCCUUUGCUCGAAUACGUUAGCAUGGAAUAAUAGAAUAGGACGUGCGGUCCUAUUUUGUUGGUUUCUAGGACCGCCGUAAUGAUUAAUAGGGAUAGUCGGGGGCAUCAGUAUUCAAUUGUCAGAGGUGAAAUUCUUGGAUUUAUUGAAGACUAACUACUGCGAAAGCAUUUGCCAAGGAUGUUUUCAUUAAUCAGUGAACGAAAGUUAGGGGAUCGAAGACGAUCAGAUACCGUCGUAGUCUUAACCGUAAACUAUGCCGACUAGGGAUCGGGCGAUGUUUCUAUCUUGACUCGCUCGGCACCUUACGAGAAAUCAAAGUUU